This 113-nucleotide ribosomal RNA is filed under the name Fukomys damarensis (Damara mole-rat). The record is from RNAcentral. Lineage: Eukaryota; Metazoa; Chordata; Mammalia; Rodentia; Bathyergidae.
UGUACCAAUGUGAACAUGCCUAAUCUCCUCUGAUCUCAGAAGCUAAGCAGGGUCAGACUUGGAUAGUACUUAAAUGAGAGUCCGUCCCUCACUGAAGAUGAAACCAUGAUCAC